This 2170-nucleotide long non-coding RNA is filed under the name Bemisia tabaci. Its description in RNAcentral is "lncRNA ENSSSA1UGG003665". Lineage: Eukaryota; Metazoa; Arthropoda; Insecta; Hemiptera; Aleyrodidae. The record is from RNAcentral.
AUCGUGUCCCCUAAGUCAUGAUUUUUUUGCCAAAUGAUUACUGCAUGCGUACCCCGCUGUUCGUCAAUCAUGAGGAUACCAGGGCUUAUAAUCGAGUGCUUAACCGAUAUUUUAAGGUGACCUGCUCUUCAACUAAUCAAAGGAGGCGCACAAUAGAGCGGCUCGGACUUAUGAGGAGUUGAUGAACGCAGCUAAUAGCCUUCAUCAUCAGGCCAAUCCAAGAGUAGUUCCCAAGGUAGCAGGGGUGCAUGCAGCGCACGAGAUUUCACCAUCUGGAUGAUAUGAUUUCAUUGUAAAAGCUCCCAUGACAUAGCUAUCCCUUCAGCUCUAUUGUAAGUCGGGUGGAAAAAUUCUCGUUGAAUACUGAGAAUGUUUUCUAGUACCUGUAGUGUCACAGAGUGGAAACAAAACACCGUUUGUGAUAAUUUGACGUUUACGUCGGUUUGAAACUUGCCUUUCUCUUUUUUUUAAAAAAAAUAUCUAAUUUACUAUCACCGUAAAAAAUAUUAUUUUAUGCAUAAACGCGCUUUUGACUUUUAAAGAAAGCACAAGUAUCGGCUAAUCAAUGAACUGCUGAAAUUUAUUUAUACUUAAAACACUAAUGAUCAUGAAUGACAUUCUGGUUGAGGUCUCAUGGAAGUGAAGUAUCAGUAAGAUGUUUCAAAAUGGCAACGUUUCCAAGAAGUUUAUCUCUUGUAAAUUUUUGUACGAUUUCUUUGCGACAUUUUACGUGAAAUAAUUCGAGCUGCCAAAUAAACCAAAGCUAGCAAAGAUGCACAUGUAAAAAAAAAGAAAUAAAAUAUUGAAUAUUUUGUAACAAGAAUGUCACCGAUUGAUUCCAAUGCGAGAUAUUAAGAUAUUCGAAUAUCUUUCGUAUAGUAAAAACCCGAAUCCUCGUAAGUAAAAUCGACUGUUUGAGAAUGAUUGCCAUUUCCACAAACUUCACUACUAUUCUUUCAAAAAUUUUGCUUACUCUCUUAAGAUAAAUAAGCACACUGGGAAAAACAUCAUUUUCAAACAAACAUAAGUAUAUAAUCACGGUACGCAUUUCGACUGUAGUAGAUUUUUAUUGUCAAUGAGCAGUGUGUUUUUAAUUGCGAUCACAAUAAAAGAAAAUAUGUUAUUCACGUUGGUGAUGAUUUAUAUUUAUUAACACUCUUAGAAAUCUUUAUGUGAAAUUCGUUGUACGUAUUCCACUCUGGAGCUCAUUUUGUUCCCAGAAACCCGAGUAAUAUUUAUUAAAAGAGAGUUUUCCUCCAUGAGAGCAGAGUUCAGCCGGAAAAAGAAGUUAGUGGAUGACGCGCCGCACUCUCAUCAUUCAAGUUUCUGGGGGCGAAAUAGGCUCCGGAUUUAAAUGCAAUGGGAUUUCUAACCGAAAUUUUUGAAAUCGCAUCCAAAGAAUCAUGUCCUACACAAAAUGUGAAUAAAGAAUCGUGCAAGAAAACUUUGAGACCUUUUCCUGUGCUGGCUCCAUUGCACCCGAAUCGCUAAAAAGUUGGGCGUGAUCCAUUCCAGUCGCGGACUUGCAACAAAAAGUGUCUCAAGUAAAAACUCAUUUAGAGACAUAGGGUAAAGGGGGAGGGGUUUUAGGAAGAGAGUUUGGAGGAAACUUACUGCAAGUAACAACUGGACUUAUUUCUACUAAACGGAACCAUGUGCAUUAUGACGUGAGCCCUGUUACGCAUACAUUAUUAUGGGUCUCAGGGCUCGUGUCUCCAUGCACAUAGUUCCGUUUGAUAGAAAUAUACGUCCAACUGAUGGCUGCGAUUCUGCAAAGCGACGGGGACGACGACCGAGUACAGGGCGGAUAUCGGCUUUCGAUUAGGUCGAUUAACACACGUUUCCUGGUGCUGAUGGUGUGACCCAUUUCCAGACUUUAGUCCAUGCGGCCCUUUGUUGAUUAAUUAAAGGCCCGCCCUCGCCCCCUUCGGACGCACAGAGUUCGUACCAGUAUCUUAUGUCCGCCACGUUUCGCUCAAUUUACGCUGCCCUCUCACUCCUCCGUGCGACUGCCACGCACUGAUUUCCGCUAUGAUCAAUCCAAACAUCCGGAAAACUCACCCCCAAUUGGAUGAAGAUCCUUGUUGAGAGGUGAUGCCUCUUGAUUCUCAGGUCUUUGUUAAUUGGACGCAUUUCUGUCAAACAGAACUAUGUGCAUUGAGACAUGAGC